This 335-nucleotide ribosomal RNA is filed under the name uncultured bacterium. Its description in RNAcentral is "bacterial SSU rRNA". It matches the Rfam family "Bacterial small subunit ribosomal RNA", at positions 8 to 334 of the family's 1533-position model. The record is from RNAcentral.
AGAGUUUGAUUCUGGCUCAGGAUGAACGCUAGCUACAGGCUUAACACAUGCAAGUCGAGGGGCAGCAUGAUUGAAGCUUGCUUCAAUUGAUGGCGACCGGCGCACGGGUGAGUAACACGUAUCCAACCUUCCGUACACUCAGGGAUAGCCUUUCGAAAGAAAGAUUAAUACCUGAUGGUAUCUUAAGCACACAUGUAAUUAAGAUUAAAGAUUUAUCGGUGUACGAUGGGGAUGCGUUCCAUUAGGUAGUAGGCGGGGUAACGGCCCACCUAGCCUACGAUGGAUAGGGGUUCUGAGAGGAAGGUCCCCCACAUUGGAACUGAGACACGGUCCAA